GCCGGUGUGGCGGAACUGGCAUACGCAGCGGACUUAAAAUCCGCUCCCCGUAAGGGGUUGAGGGUUCAAAUCCCUCCACCGGCACCA
This 87-nucleotide transfer RNA is filed under the name Nitrospirota bacterium. RNAcentral's name for it is "Nitrospirae bacterium tRNA-Leu". It matches the Rfam family "tRNA". From Rfam's summary of the family: Transfer RNA (tRNA) molecules are approximately 80 nucleotides in length. Their secondary structure includes four short double-helical elements and three loops (D, anti-codon, and T loops). Lineage: Bacteria; Pseudomonadati; Nitrospirota. RNAcentral also lists the same sequence under 1 other name. The record is from RNAcentral.